GGGGAUAUAGCUCCAUUGGUAGAGUGUUUGCUUUGCAUGCACAAGUUCCUGGGUUCAAUUCCCAGCACUUCCC
RNAcentral lists this transfer RNA (73 nucleotides) under Ictidomys tridecemlineatus (thirteen-lined ground squirrel). RNAcentral's name for it is "Spermophilus tridecemlineatus (thirteen-lined ground squirrel) tRNA". It matches the Rfam family "tRNA". From Rfam's summary of the family: Transfer RNA (tRNA) molecules are approximately 80 nucleotides in length. Their secondary structure includes four short double-helical elements and three loops (D, anti-codon, and T loops). Lineage: Eukaryota; Metazoa; Chordata; Mammalia; Rodentia; Sciuridae. The record is from Rfam by way of RNAcentral.